GCCUGUAUAGCUUAGUUGGUUAGAGCAUUGUGCUUGCAUUACAGGGGGUUGGAAUAGAUCAGAGUUUCCCCGAACUCGAGUCUCUUUUUGGACU
Molecule: non-coding RNA, 94 nt
Organism: Podarcis lilfordi (Lilford's wall lizard)
Lineage: Eukaryota; Metazoa; Chordata; Lepidosauria; Squamata; Lacertidae
Source: the annotation of a GenBank genome assembly